Molecule: transfer RNA, 72 nt
Filed under: Salmostoma bacalia (large razorbelly minnow)
Lineage: Eukaryota; Metazoa; Chordata; Actinopteri; Cypriniformes; Danionidae
Description: tRNA-Thr
Rfam family: tRNA
About the family: Transfer RNA (tRNA) molecules are approximately 80 nucleotides in length. Their secondary structure includes four short double-helical elements and three loops (D, anti-codon, and T loops). Further hydrogen bonds mediate the characteristic L-shaped molecular structure. tRNAs have two regions of fundamental functional importance: the anti-codon, which is responsible for specific mRNA codon recognition, and the 3' end, to which the tRNAs corresponding amino acid is attached (by aminoacyl-tRNA synthetases). tRNAs cope with the degeneracy of the genetic code in two manners: having more than one tRNA (with a specific anti-codon) for a particular amino acid; and 'wobble' base-pairing, i.e. permitting non-standard base-pairing at the 3rd anti-codon position.
Source: RNAcentral
GCCCCAGUAGCUUAAUCCUAAAGCGUCGGUCUUGUAAACCGAAGAUCGGAGGUUAAACUCCUCCCUGGAGCC